CGCGUAGGCGGGGAUGUAAGUCAGACGUGAAAUCCCGGGGCUCAACCUCGGAACAGCAUUUGAAACUACAUCUCUCGAGGGUAGGCGGAGAAAACGGAAUUCCACAAGUAGCGGUGAAAUGCGUAGAUAUGUGGAAGAACACCGGUGGCGAAGGCGGUUUUCUAGCUUAUUCCUGACGCUAAAGCGCGAAAGCAAGGGGAUCAAACA
This 207-nucleotide ribosomal RNA is filed under the name uncultured bacterium. RNAcentral's name for it is "partial 16S ribosomal RNA". It matches the Rfam family "Bacterial small subunit ribosomal RNA", at positions 568 to 774 of the family's 1533-position model. The record is from RNAcentral.